Molecule: unclassified non-coding RNA, 401 nt
Filed under: soil metagenome
Description: partial contains 5.8S ribosomal RNA, internal transcribed spacer 2, and large subunit ribosomal RNA
Rfam family: 5.8S ribosomal RNA (bases 1-121)
Source: RNAcentral
GAUGAAGAACGUAGCGAAAUGCGAUAAGUAAUGUGAAUUGCAGAAUUCAGUGAAUCAUCGAAUCUUUGAACGCACCUUGCGCCCUUUGGCUAUUCUGAAGGGCAUGCCUGUUUGAGUAUCGUGAACACCUCAACUCUCAUGGUCUGCCAUGAUGAGCUUGGACUUUGGGGGUCUUGCUGGCCUACUGUCAGCUCCUCUCAAAUGAAUCAGCUUACCAGUGUUUGGUGGCACCACAGGUGUGAUAACUAUCUACGCUUGUGGUUUUCUGCCAGGUAACCUCCAGUGAUGGAGGUUCGCUGGAGCUCACAAAUGUCUCUCCUCAGCGAGGACAGCUUUUUGAACGUUUGAUCUCAAAUCAGGUAGGACUACCCGCUGAACUUAAGCAUAUCAUAAGCGGAGGA